AGAGUUGAUCAGUGGCUCAGGACGAACGCUGGCGGCGUGCCUAACACAUGCAAGUCGAGCGAGGAGAUCCUCGGGAUGAUCCUAGCGGCGGACGGGUGAGUAACACGUGGGCAACCUGCCUCAUAGAGAGGAAUAGCCUUCCGAAAGGGAGAUUAAUACCUCAUAACAUUGCAGUUUCGCAUGGAACAGCAAUUAAAGGAGUAAUCCGCUAUGAGAUGGGCCCGCGGCACAUUAGCUAGUUGGUGAGGUAACGGCUCACCAAGGCGACGAUGCGUAGCCGACCUGAGAGGGUGAUCGGCCACAUUGGGACUGAGACACGGCCCAGACUCCUACGGGAGGCAGCAGUGGGGAAUAUUGCACAAUGGGGGAAACCCUGAUGCAAGCAACGCCGCGUGAGUGAUGACGGCCUUCGGGUUGUAAAGCUCUGUCUUCAGGGACGAUAAUGACGGUACCUGAGGAGGAAGCCACGGCUAACUACGUGCCAGCCGCUGC
This 492-nucleotide ribosomal RNA is filed under the name uncultured bacterium. Its description in RNAcentral is "bacterial SSU rRNA". It matches the Rfam family "Bacterial small subunit ribosomal RNA", at positions 8 to 518 of the family's 1533-position model. The record is from RNAcentral.